RNAcentral lists this ribosomal RNA (253 nucleotides) under uncultured bacterium. RNAcentral describes it as "partial 16S ribosomal RNA". It matches the Rfam family "Bacterial small subunit ribosomal RNA", at positions 524 to 776 of the family's 1533-position model. The record is from RNAcentral.
UACGGAGGAUGCAAGCGUUAUCCGGAAUUACUGGGCGUAAAGAGCUCGUAGGUGGUUUGUCGCGUUGUCCGUGAAAACUCACAACUCAAUUGUGGGCGUGCGGGCGAUACGGGCAGACUGGAGUACUGCAGGGGAGACUGGAAUUCCUGGUGUAGCGGUGGAAUGCGCAGAUAUCAGGAGGAACACCGGUGGCGAAGGCGGGUCUCUGGGCAGUAACUGACGCUGAGGAGCGAAAGUGUGGGGAGCGAACAGG